This 429-nucleotide ribosomal RNA is filed under the name uncultured Acidobacteriota bacterium. RNAcentral describes it as "bacterial SSU rRNA". It matches the Rfam family "Bacterial small subunit ribosomal RNA", at positions 355 to 776 of the family's 1533-position model. The record is from RNAcentral. Lineage: Bacteria; Pseudomonadati; Acidobacteriota.
UGGGGAAUUUUGCGCAAUGGGGGAAACCCUGACGCAGCGACGCCGCGUGGAGGAUGAAGGCCCUUGGGUCGUAAACUCCUGUCAGGUGGGAAGAAAAGCCUUCGGUAAACAGCCGAGGGUCUUGACUGUACCACCGGAGGAAGCCCCGGCUAACUCCGUGCCAGCAGCCGCGGUAAUACGGAGGGGGCAAGCGUUGUUCGGAAUCAUUGGGCGUAAAGGGCGCGUAGGCGGCCGAACAAGUCGGGUGUGAAAUCCCUCGGCUCAACCGAGGAACUGCACUCGAUACUGUUUGGCUAGAGUCCGGGAGGGGAUGGUGGAAUUCCCAGUGUAGCGGUGAAAUGCGUAGAUAUUGGGAAGAACACCGGUGGCGAAGGCGGCCAUCUGGACCGGCACUGACGCUGAGGCGCGAAAGCCAGGGGAGCGAAUGGG